GUCGAGCGGAUGAGUGGAGCUUGCUCCAUGAUUCAGCGGCGGACGGGUGAGUAAUGCCUAGGAAUCUGCCUGGUAGUGGGGGACAACGUUUCGAAAGGAACGCUAAUACCGCAUACGUCCUACGGGAGAAAGUGGGGGAUCUUCGGACCUCACGCUAUCAGAUGAGCCUAGGUCGGAUUAGCUAGUUGGUGAGGUAAAGGCUCACCAAGGCGACGAUCCGUAACUGGUCUGAGAGGAUGAUCAGUCACACUGGAACUGAGACACGGUCCAGACUCCUACGGGAGGCAGCAGUGGGGAAUAUUGGACAAUGGGCGAAAGCCUGAUCCAGCCAUGCCGCGUGUGUGAAGAAGGUCUUCGGAUUGUAAAGCACUUUAAGUUGGGAGGAAGGGCAGUAAGUUAAUACCUUGCUGUUUUGACGUUACCAACAGAAUAAGCACCGGCUAACUUCGUGCCAGCAGCCGCGGUAAU
This 468-nucleotide ribosomal RNA is filed under the name uncultured bacterium. RNAcentral describes it as "bacterial SSU rRNA". It matches the Rfam family "Bacterial small subunit ribosomal RNA", at positions 61 to 524 of the family's 1533-position model. The record is from RNAcentral.